GGUCGACGAUUAACGCGAAGAACCUUACCAGGGUUUGACAUGCAAGUGGUAGGAAACCGAAAGGUGACCGACCCUUCGGGGAGCUUGCACAGGUGCUGCAUGGCUGUCGUCAGCUCGUGUCGUGAGAUGUUCGGUUAAGCCCGCUAACGAGCGCAUCCCUCGCUGUGUGUUAUAUGUGUCACACGGGACUGCCGGUCUUAAGCCGGAGGAAGGUGGGGAUGAUGUCAAGUCAGCAUGGCCUUUAUAUCCUGGGCUACACACACGCUACAAUGGCCAACACAGUAGGUUGCUAAGCCGCGAGGUGGCGCUAAUCCAUAAAGUUGGUCUCAGUUCAGAUUGUAGGCUGCAACCCGCCUGCAUGAAGAUGGAGUUGCUAGUAACCGCAGGUCAGCUAUACUACGGUGAAUACGUUCCCGGGUCUUGUACACACCG
This 432-nucleotide ribosomal RNA is filed under the name uncultured Leptolinea sp. Its description in RNAcentral is "bacterial SSU rRNA". It matches the Rfam family "Bacterial small subunit ribosomal RNA", at positions 949 to 1392 of the family's 1533-position model. The record is from RNAcentral. Lineage: Bacteria; Bacillati; Chloroflexota; Anaerolineae; Anaerolineales; Anaerolineaceae.